Gallus gallus (chicken) is the source of this 1537-nucleotide long non-coding RNA. The record is from Ensembl. NCBI's taxonomy places the organism in Eukaryota, Metazoa, Chordata, Aves, Galliformes, Phasianidae.
GUGGAAAGGACAGCAUAUAGAUAGCACACAAGUUAGAUAGAGGCAGACAAAUAAAAAAUAAGGAAAAGAACAGCACGUAUAACAAGAGAUCUCCUUUUGCUGUAUCUGCUGGUGCUGGACAACAAAACUACCAUGCCAGUUUUGGUUUCUAGGGGUCUGUUGGGAACCAUGCGAAGGGAAACCUGUGUCACCUGACCUCUUCAGGACAUGAGGACCACAAGGUGGCAUAUUUUCCAAGAUAUCAUACAAGUGGGCGACUGUACGCAUCUGCCAGCAGUUCUGGGAUGGUUGGCAAGUUUCCCUUCCGGAUGAUGAUGUUUGGCUUCAUAGCCCCAGGUGCGAAUGCCCACACUGGACCAGUUGGCCAGAGAGUGUGCGAGGAGGCCAUAGUUUGAAUCAUUCCUAAAGGUUUAAAAAGAAAGCAACAGCAGACCUUAUCUCGUGCUCUAUUGAAUUAUUUUCUUCAUCAAGCUGUCAUAGAAACUGGAUGUAAUGCUUCCUCAUCAUACGGCAGCCCUCCAACACCUAAAUUAAGAAGUGAAUAGUGCAGGGGUUAAUUAUGAACCUGGAAAAGCUGUGUAGCACUUCUUGGGAAGGCAUCAGCCCGUGAGGGACCUGCGCGGGGUGCAGCAGUGAGAUGCCUCAGCAGGAGCCAGCAAAGUGUUCACCCUGGAUGUUCAACCAGCUUCACGGCUGCUUUGGAAGAGUCACAACCGAGCUGUCUCGGCGUCAGUUCUGAAAGCAGUAAGCACACAAGGUUACUGCCUGGUGUUUCCUUUCAUAGCUGAGACAUACCUCCGGUAUGGCCGUUAAGGAGACUGCCUGCAAGACAACUCCAUCCAGGAAUGACAUGCAGUUCCUUGGUGUGUUUUCCUUGGCUGCAGCCCGUGUCUCUCUUCAUCCCCUGAUUCCAGACAGCAGCACCUCCUGCAGCCACUGCCUUCUACAGAACUUCCAUUCCGCAGAGCUGAGGGAAAGGCUUUGGAGCAUCGCCUGCUGCCUUCACAGAGGCAUUUUAAGAGUUUUUGUUCUGAGCUGUACAGCAAGCAGAAAAGUAAUAUACAUAAUAAAGUAAAGAAAUAUUAUGUACUUGAAUUUUUAAUUAAGUUCUAUUUACGAUGUUGUCGUCCAUUUUGAAACAUUAAGAAUAGCUCUACCUUCAAUGCAGGAAGGAUUUCCCUUAUCUACGUAUUUCACAAUAAAAAAGGAAAAGGAAUGUGGCUAUUUUUACAUUGUAAGUGCCUUUAUGUCAAAUAUAAGCUAGAUUUUAUUUUUUAAUGAAACUUAAUUUAGCCUAGUUAAGAAACCAAUAACCAUAUUUCCUAAUUCAGUUUAUUAAAGUAAUAAACACAGCUAUUCCAGGAAAUGAAAAUAUUUCUGUAUAUGAAAUAGAGUUCUCUGCAGAAGAUAUUCAAGUGUGGAUCUCUGAUGUUUAGCAGUAAAAAUGUAUAUUGGGUAUAAAAUGGGCUUCUCUCUAUCCAUGUGUUCUGGGCGUCAUCCGGUCUGAGGGAUGUCUGUGCAUAAUGCGGAUUCUCAG